CGGCGUCCGGCGCGCCGGCGGAGGGCUGCGUCGGCUCGGUCCCGGCGGGCGGCUCGAUCGCGGCGUCGACGGACGGUUCGGCGGCCGCGGGCGUCGAC
This 98-nucleotide transfer RNA is filed under the name Micromonospora andamanensis. Its description in RNAcentral is "tRNA-Pro". The record is from RNAcentral. Lineage: Bacteria; Bacillati; Actinomycetota; Actinomycetes; Micromonosporales; Micromonosporaceae.